AGAGUUUGAUCCUGGCUUAGGAUGAACGCUAGCGGCAGGCUUAACACAUGCAAGUCGAGGGGCAUCGGGAGUAGCAAUACUGCCGGCGACCGGCGCAAGGGUGCGUAACGCGUGAGCAACAUGCCCGUAUCAGGGGGAUAAUCCACGGAAACGUGGUCUAAUACCCCAUAGUAAUUAUGUAAGGCAUCUUAUAUAAUUUAAAGCUUUGGUGGAUACGGAUUGGCUCGCGUGACGUUAGCUGGAUGGUAAGGUAACGGCUUACCAUGGCUACGAUGUCUAGGGGUUCUGAGAGGAAGGUCCCCCACACUGGAACUGAGACACGGUCCAGACUCCUACGGGAGGCAGCAGUGAGGAAUAUUGGACAAUGGAUGGAAAUCUGAUCCAGCCAUGCCGCGUGCCAGGAAGACGGCCCUAUGGGUUGUAAACUGCUUUUGUAUGGGAGCAAUAAGGGCUACGUGUAGUCCGAUGAGAGUACCAUACGAAUAAGCACCGGCUAACUCCGUGCCAGCCGCCGC
RNAcentral lists this ribosomal RNA (515 nucleotides) under uncultured bacterium. RNAcentral describes it as "bacterial SSU rRNA". It matches the Rfam family "Bacterial small subunit ribosomal RNA", at positions 8 to 518 of the family's 1533-position model. The record is from RNAcentral.